AUACGGAGGAUCCGAGCGUUAUCCGGAAUCAUUGGGUUUAAAGGGUCCGUAGGCGGCCCUGUAAGUCAGCGGUGAAAUCUCCCGGCUCAACCGGGAAACUGCCGUUGAUACUGCAGGGCUUGAAUUGCCGGGAAGUAACUAGAAUAUGUAGUGUAGCGGUGAAAUGCUUAGAUAUUACAUGGAAUACCGAUUGCGAAGGCAGGUUACUACCGGCGUAUUGACGCUGAUGGACGAAAGCGUGGGGAGCGAACAGGAUUAGAAACCCUUGUAGUCC
Molecule: ribosomal RNA, 274 nt
Filed under: uncultured bacterium
Lineage: Bacteria
Description: partial 16S ribosomal RNA
Rfam family: Bacterial small subunit ribosomal RNA
Source: RNAcentral